This 19-nucleotide ribosomal RNA is filed under the name Borreliella valaisiana. Its description in RNAcentral is "partial 23S ribosomal RNA". The record is from RNAcentral. Lineage: Bacteria; Pseudomonadati; Spirochaetota; Spirochaetia; Spirochaetales; Borreliaceae.
CUAUGGUGAAUGCCUAGGA